AUCAAAACGCCUUUGCAAGGAUAAUAAAACUACCGCUGGCUAAUGAUGUUCCUUCCCGUCCUAGAGUUAGGUCUCCCACUUAUUGGUUACCUGCAUCACAAAUGAGUCAUGAGUAACUAGUUUACUCAGUGAGCCUAGUCCCGUACCCCAACAUAUAUUAAUAAUAUCUCAAGCAAUCACUCCAUUUGUAUGCAGUGGAAAUAUAUUCCAUAACUAAUAAAAAUACAUAUAUAAGGCCUAUCAAUCCAUCGAUGUGAAUCUUAUCUUAAACAUCAUCUCCAAG
This 283-nucleotide long non-coding RNA is filed under the name Brassica rapa (field mustard). RNAcentral describes it as "long non-coding RNA (BRAP_LNC006873)". Lineage: Eukaryota; Viridiplantae; Streptophyta; Magnoliopsida; Brassicales; Brassicaceae. The record is from RNAcentral.